GCGGACGUGGCGGAAUUGGCAGACGCGUAUGGCUUAGGACCAUAUACCGCGAGGUAUGGGGGUUCAAGUCCCUCCGUCCGCA
RNAcentral lists this transfer RNA (82 nucleotides) under Candidatus Endomicrobiellum trichonymphae. Its description in RNAcentral is "Candidatus Endomicrobium trichonymphae tRNA". It matches the Rfam family "tRNA". From Rfam's summary of the family: Transfer RNA (tRNA) molecules are approximately 80 nucleotides in length. Their secondary structure includes four short double-helical elements and three loops (D, anti-codon, and T loops). Lineage: Bacteria; Pseudomonadati; Elusimicrobiota; Endomicrobiia; Endomicrobiales; Endomicrobiaceae. The record is from Rfam by way of RNAcentral.